CGCGGGAUUAGAGUUUGAUCAUGGCUCAGAUUGAACGCUGGCGGCAGGCCUAACACAUGCAAGUCGAGCGGUAACAGGAAUUAGCUUGCUAAUUCGCUGACGAGCGGCGGACGGGUGAGUAAUGCCUGAGAAUAUGCCUUAGUGUGGGGGAUAACUAUUGGAAACGAUAGCUAAUACCGCAUAACGUCUUCGGACCAAAGAGGGGGAUCUUCGGGCCUCUCGCGCUAAGAUUAGCCCAGGUGAGAUUAGCUAGUUGGUGAGGUAAGAGCUCACCAAGGCGACGAUCUCUAGCUGGUCUGAGAGGAUGAUCAGCCACACUGGAACUGAGACACGGUCCAGACUCCUACGGGAGGCAGCAGUGGGGAAUAUUGCACAAUGGGCGCAAGCCUGAUGCAGCCAUGCCGCGUGUAUGAAGAAGGCCUUCGGGUUGUAAAGUACUUUCAGUGGGGAGGAAGGUGUUGUCGUUAAUAGCGGCAGCAUUUGACGUUACCCACAGAAGAAGCACCGGCUAACUCCGUGCCAGCAGCCGCGGUAAUACGGAGGGUGCGAGCGUUAAUCGGAAUUACUGGGCGUAAAGCGCAUGCAGGUGGUUCAUUAAGUCAGAUGUGAAAGCCCGGGGCUCAACCUCGGAACCGCAUUUGAAACUGGUGAACUAGAGUGCUGUAGAGGGGGGUAGAAUUUCA
RNAcentral lists this ribosomal RNA (683 nucleotides) under uncultured Vibrionaceae bacterium. Its description in RNAcentral is "bacterial SSU rRNA". It matches the Rfam family "Bacterial small subunit ribosomal RNA", at positions 1 to 671 of the family's 1533-position model. The record is from RNAcentral. Lineage: Bacteria; Pseudomonadati; Pseudomonadota; Gammaproteobacteria; Vibrionales; Vibrionaceae.